Vigna angularis (adzuki bean) is the source of this 83-nucleotide non-coding RNA. The record is from Rfam. NCBI's taxonomy places the organism in Eukaryota, Viridiplantae, Streptophyta, Magnoliopsida, Fabales, Fabaceae.
GUCAGUGAUGCAGAUAUCAUAACUAGCUGAAAUGCGACUUUUCGCAUUUUUGUUGAAAAUUUUGAACUAGGACGGUCUGAGGC